AAUCACCUCGCACCUUCUGGAUCCUUCCAAUCCACCUGUCAAAUACCCUUCGUCUCCACCCGCAGUUUCACGUUCAACUGCGUGAAUCUUCCGUCCAAUUUCUCUGCACGCUCUCUCAUUAGGUAAAUUCUUCCUCUCAGCUCUUCAAUUCAUGUGGUCUGAUAAUAGUGUUGUUAGAUCUUUUGGUUCGGCCGUUGGUGAAUCGAGAAUCAUGUCUCAUAUCCUUCCGAUAUGCUUCUUUUUCUUCAGUUUCAGAUCGCCUUUUAAGAUCUACAAAUGAUAAUUUUAACUAAUGUGAUUUGGUAUAAAACAUCAUAUAUUAGCGUCAUAAUAAUAGUUUUUUCAAGAGUAACAAGUAAUUUGUGAUUGUGUGAUAUGGACUAUUGAACUUUCUGAUAUGUAUAUGACUAAUAUUUUGUUAGAUUGAAACGGAUAUGAAGUUAGAAUCGGUUAGGUAUGGUAUGGUAUGUAGAUGGUUGUUAGAUCUUAACUUGAAGAUUACGCGGAAACCAGAGGGAUCGUGAUAGAGAAAGGGCUCAGGCAAGGGCCGGCGGGAAGCCGAAGCAAUCGAAAACCGAUGGAUUAACUCCUGAACAAAGACGAGAAAGGGAUGCGAAGGCAUUACAAGAGAAGUUAGCAAGGAAGGCGGCUAAAGAGUCAGCUGGAGCAAAUGGUGGGAAAAAUGGGAUGAAAACCAACAAAUAGAUGGUGUGGGUGUGUGUAUAUACAUUGAUGAUGGGAUAGGAAAGAGACAGAUUUGAGUGGGUUAUGUGAGUCGAUUGUUGUAUGAUAGGUUGGUGGUAAGGGGAUUGUUAAAGUCGUUGACUAUUUAUGAUCGCUUUGAGUUUUCAUGAGUUCUUGAUUGUGGCAUCCAUUUAUCUGUAUUCAUUUUUCUCUGUUUAUGACGUGUUAUUUUGACUUCACUUCUAUGGUUUGCUGUGUUAUUUGUAUCCAUUUAUUUGUUUUCUUUUUAAAAUAAAGAUUUACUCAAAAACUGG
RNAcentral lists this long non-coding RNA (998 nucleotides) under Helianthus annuus (common sunflower). Lineage: Eukaryota; Viridiplantae; Streptophyta; Magnoliopsida; Asterales; Asteraceae. The record is from RNAcentral.